Molecule: ribosomal RNA, 373 nt
Filed under: uncultured organism
Description: partial 16S ribosomal RNA
Rfam family: Bacterial small subunit ribosomal RNA
Source: RNAcentral
GUAGGUGGCAAGCGUUGUCCGGAAUUAUUGGGCGUAAAGCGCGCGCAGGCGGUUCUUUAAGUCUGAUGUGAAAGCCACGGGCUCAACCGUGGAGGGUCAUUGGAAACUGGAGAACUUGAGUACAGAAGAGGAAAGCGGAAUUCCACGUGUAGCGGUGAAAUGCGUAGAGAUGUGGAGGAACACCGGUGGCGAAGGCGGCUUUCUGGUCUGUAACUGACGCUGAGGCGCGAAAGCGUGGGGAGCAAACAGGAUUAGAUACCCUGGUAGUCCACGCCGUAAACGAUGAGUGCUAAGUGUUAGGGGGUUUCCGCCCCUUAGUGCUGCAGCUAACGCAUUAAGCACUCCGCCUGGGGAGUACGGCCGCAAAGGCUGA